AGGCUUUAUGAGAAAAAAUAAUGAAGUAUAAAGUGCAAUAUGUACUUUUGAGCCAGAAAAGCAGCUUUAUCUAAGUAAGGUUAGGGUUUUACAAAGGCUUUAAUGAAGUAAGAGACUGGAAGUUUAGGGAUCUUCAAUGAUACUCACAAGAAUGGAAUCACUAGUUCAGUAUGGUUCAGGGUUUUAUAUAGGAUUCAGCAAGAAAACAAAAAAAGAGGACUAAGUUUAGGGUUACCUCACUAGCUUUAGCAGUAAAAGAAGCAUAAGCAGUAGUUUGAUGCUAUUUUUAGGUCUCAGGCUAGGUUCACCUACCAGAGUUUUCUCAAGGGAUGUAUCAUGGGAGGAAAGGUUGUAGACUGAGAGACCAUAUUUGUAGGUUACAAGCUCUUUGAGGUUGUAUCAAAAUGAAGGAGAACUUUUAGAGGUAAGCUUCACGCUCUUUAAUCUCUGAAAUUCUUUUUUUUUUUUUUUUUCUGAAAUAGUUAUAACAUGUGCAGAGUUUUUACUUUCCUUGUGGUUUUAGUUGGUGUUGUUUAUUUUCUUUUUAAAAGUUAAAGCAUAGAAUGCCACAACUACCUGAGCUACUUGGAUGGACAUUGGGGAUAACUUUGGUUUUUGACAAUGGACUUUGAAGAGGAUUUUGGAACUGUUUCAAUGAAAUGCAGUUCAGUUGUGGAUAAAUUUGGUUUUUGCAUUGGGUUUAUGUUGAAUGGGUUGCAUUAAUUGUUACAGGCUAUAUUGAAUGGGUUGCUUUAAUUGUUAUAGGAUGUGUUGAAUAGGUUGCUUUAAUUCUUACAGGCUAUGUUCUAUUGCGUCCCUUUAAUUCUUACAGUGUGUGCUGUGUGGAUCAUUGGGCACGUUUUGCUUGAAAUUGUGAGCUGGUUACAG
Molecule: long non-coding RNA, 888 nt
Filed under: Amborella trichopoda
Lineage: Eukaryota; Viridiplantae; Streptophyta; Magnoliopsida; Amborellales; Amborellaceae
Description: long non-coding RNA (ATRI_LNC003272)
Source: RNAcentral